CUGAAGUUGGCACAGCUAAAGCUAACAGCGGCUGCUCCACCGUUUACCAGGAACUGGUGUGGUCCGACAGCGCCACUUGCUGCUGGGGAGGCGGAACUACAUUAUAUUUAUAGUGGGUCAAUACAUAAAUGAAGGAGGCGUUCAAAAGCAAGACAGCUGUGGGAAAGAAGCUGCUCCGGGUUCUGGUGGUUCUGUAACGUCUCCCAGAGGGCAGGAGGGAAAAGAGUGUGUGUGCUGGUCACAUGACCAGCUGAGCGCUUCAGCUGCAGAGGACCGGUCAACCUUAAAGCAUCGCUGAGAUGUUCAGAAGUUCUGCAUUGAUCCCACAGUGAUCAAUAAGUGAAAGUAAGCUGCCGCCAGCGCAGAGCUUGAUGAAGACGCUUUAAAGACAGAAAAACUGAAGACAUACAGACAGAAACAAACUUUGUUGAUCCUCUGCAGUGAAUUCAGCAG
Molecule: long non-coding RNA, 453 nt
Organism: Gambusia affinis (western mosquitofish)
Lineage: Eukaryota; Metazoa; Chordata; Actinopteri; Cyprinodontiformes; Poeciliidae
Exons: 3
Source: RefSeq, a predicted model, not a curated record